Molecule: non-coding RNA, 148 nt
Filed under: Gorilla gorilla gorilla (western lowland gorilla)
Lineage: Eukaryota; Metazoa; Chordata; Mammalia; Primates; Hominidae
Source: Rfam by way of RNAcentral
GCUGGGCGUGGUGGUGGGCGCCUGUAAUCCCAACUACUCGGGAGGCUGAGGUAGGAGAAUUGCUUGAACCCAGGAGAUGGAGGUUGCAGUGAGCUGAGAUCAUGCCACUGCACUCCAGCCUGGGUGACAGAGCAAGACUCUGACUCAA